GGGUAUUUACGUUAAAAACAUGUUAUUCUGUUAACUGUAGAUAGAGGUAAAACACAAAAUAAGAGUUGAUUGUAAUAUAAACUGUUUCCAAAGUAUUAUUGUAAGCAAUGGCUCCCAGACAGGACCUGAUAAUCCCAGUGGAGCCGACGCGAGCCCCACAGAUCAGGGCUCCGCCCCCACCGCGGCCGGGCCGCCACCAGCGCCCCCCGCACGACAACCCCACCGUGUACAUAGACAGACCAGCACACAGAACCAACAAUAACCAAAGAGCUGCACAAAGAACUUAAAUCCUGAGAGAAUGUGGAAAAAUCGGAUUGGGAAUCUUACUAUCUGCUAGAGGAAUCUUGUUUGUUCUAAUUUCUGCGACCUGCAUACUUAGCAUGGUCACCAUAGAAAGGUUUACGGUAAAGUAGACAGAGUGAUUGAUUAACAAAGGAAAUUUGUCAGUUUGUCCGCAAAAACUGUCAGC
Molecule: long non-coding RNA, 469 nt
Organism: Aricia agestis (brown argus)
Lineage: Eukaryota; Metazoa; Arthropoda; Insecta; Lepidoptera; Lycaenidae
Exons: 2
Source: RefSeq, a predicted model, not a curated record